RNAcentral lists this ribosomal RNA (253 nucleotides) under uncultured bacterium. Its description in RNAcentral is "partial 16S ribosomal RNA". It matches the Rfam family "Bacterial small subunit ribosomal RNA", at positions 524 to 776 of the family's 1533-position model. The record is from RNAcentral.
UACGGAGGGUGCAAGCGUUAUCCGGAAUCACUGGGUUUAAAGGGUGCGUAGGCGGCCUGACAAGUCAGGGGUGAAAUGUCGUCGCUUAACGAUGAAAUUGCCUUUGAUACUGUUGGGCUUGAAACAGGUUGAGGUUGGCAGAAUGUGGCAUGUAGCGGUGAAAUGCAUAGAUAUGCCAUAGAAUACCGAUUGCGUAGGCAGCUGGCUGGACCUGGAUUGACGCUGAGGCACGAAAGCGUGGGGAGCAAACAGG